This 71-nucleotide transfer RNA is filed under the name Verrucomicrobiota bacterium. RNAcentral's name for it is "tRNA-Lys". It matches the Rfam family "tRNA". From Rfam's summary of the family: Transfer RNA (tRNA) molecules are approximately 80 nucleotides in length. Lineage: Bacteria; Pseudomonadati; Verrucomicrobiota. The record is from RNAcentral.
CCGGUAGCUCAACCAGGUAGAGCAGUUGACUCUUAAUCAAUUGGUUGGGGGUUCGAUUCCUCCCCGGCGUA